CCUUAAACGAUACGGAUAGUUUGCUUUCACUUUUAAAAAGUGAAGACAAAUGAGUCACGAUGAGUGUCCACACAGAUUGAUACGGUUUAUACGAAAGAGACGAUACUGGGUCUGUAGCUCAGGUGGUUAGAGCGUUCGCCUGAUAAGCGAGAGGUCGGUGGUUCGAGUCCACUCAGACCCACCAAUUCCCUUCCCAAGGAAUUGGCAUACAGUAUCGACACCUUGAUGGGGCUAUAGCUCAGCUGGGAGAGCGCCUGCCUUGCACGCAGGAGGUCAGCAGUUCGAUCCUGCUUAGCUCCACCAUCUUUAAGCGCAUUCGAUGAGUGCUUUUAAAAAUGGUUACUUCAUAAGAAGUGAUUAGCUCUUUAACAAUUUGGAAAGCUGACAAAACAACAAAUUAUUGUUGUUUGUAAAGUUCUCAAAGUAUUCUUAAUUGAAUACUCCAAACAACACAUUCAAGUGUUCUUGGGUUUUGUCUUACUGUUUAAGUAAAACAAAACAUAUUUGAGUCCGGCAAAAUCGAAAUGUCUCUCGCUCAUUCAAAUAAUGAGAUAGCAACUUUGGUUGUUUAACUUCAACUCGAAACUCCUUCGGGUUGUAU
RNAcentral lists this unclassified non-coding RNA (601 nucleotides) under Vibrio harveyi. RNAcentral's name for it is "16S-23S ribosomal RNA intergenic spacer". The stretch from base 108 to 181 matches the Rfam family "tRNA". Lineage: Bacteria; Pseudomonadati; Pseudomonadota; Gammaproteobacteria; Vibrionales; Vibrionaceae. The record is from RNAcentral.